GCGUAACACGUGGGUAAUUUGCCAUAAAGUUGGGAAUAACUUGCUGAAAGGUAAGCUAAUACCGAAUGUGAUUCUGGAAAAGCAUUUUUCUGGGAUUAAAGUUGGGGACCGUAAGGCCUGACGCUUUUUGAUAAGCCCGCGUCCUAUCAGCUUGUUGGUGAGGUAAAAGCUCACCAAGGCUUAGACGGGUAGCUGGUCUGAGAGGACGAUCAGCCACACUGGAACUGAGACACGGUCCAG
This 240-nucleotide ribosomal RNA is filed under the name uncultured bacterium. RNAcentral's name for it is "partial 16S ribosomal RNA". It matches the Rfam family "Bacterial small subunit ribosomal RNA", at positions 108 to 334 of the family's 1533-position model. The record is from RNAcentral.